This is a long non-coding RNA of Saccostrea cuccullata (small rock oyster), 562 nucleotides long. RefSeq lists it as uncharacterized. Lineage: Eukaryota; Metazoa; Mollusca; Bivalvia; Ostreida; Ostreidae. The transcript has 4 exons. The record is from RefSeq and is a predicted model, not a curated record.
UUUAAUUUUGUACUGGAAUUUGAACAGUAGCUCGCUGCUGGGGAUUAGAGUAUGAUGAGUAUCUCUCCUUUCCGUUGAUACUUCCUUACAAAGUCGACUGGAAGAAAUCCUCCACCUCAGCAUACAUGAAGUCAUAGCAAGAAGCAGUGAAAGCCACAGCAGAGAUUGGAUGGAGCAUAAUUUUUUCUAUGUCUCGGCGCCUCUAUGGAUGUCAUAUUUAGAUCAGAUGCAAUCUGAGCCUUGUUCUGAAUUUCAAAAUCCCCUUUGACAACACCUGCACAGCUGAGCAAUCAAGGACCUUCUGACUAAGGGCUGAUUUAUAGUGAACACUGCCAUUCAGAGACUUUGAAACAGAUUGAUGAAUGAACCACAUGCAUUAUGUCAGAGGAAUCUAGCUGGAGCACCUAUUUAGCAACCAGGACACAUACAUGUAGAUGUACCUGUACAGUUGAUACAGAUAAUCUCAACGGCACAUUUCUGAAUGAUGGCCAAAAAAUCUAAUAAAGACACUGUCAGUUUAAAACUUUUUGAAAGAAAUCCAGACCAGAAACAAAGGAUAUUG